UAAUCAAUAUUACGUGACCUGAGUUUUCUGUUUUAACGAUUAUAAUUUUAUGAAGUAAAUCAUUCCACUCUUCAUCUGAACUAGUUUACGGAGCACGGUUGCGACGCGUCAAGUGAUAUCUAAUUGCCGUGAAAGACAUUUCGAUCACAUUUGAACUUGAUUUGUUUAAAAUCUUCACGUCUUUCUUAAUGUAAAUGAAGUGAGCUUGAAAUUAUUGAAACCUAUUGUUAAGGCUCACGAAACCUCCUUAAAACUUUUACUGUAUUUUUUAAACCUCGCCCUUUAUAAUUUUUACAUGAACCCCCAAAACGCUCCAUAAUUCAUUCCAUUUCUGAUUACGACAAUUACGUUCGCAAGCAAGUAAAACGGGGAAAACAGCGGUCGUGAACGUGUUCUUGAGCGGUUAGUGGAACGCACGGCCUGUAUUACUUCAAAUUACGUCGACAAAUCCAGCAUCGAGCGGAGCGCGCCACCAGCAAUUCACAAUCCGCAAUUUGCCAAAUUUGGCAUUCAUCUGCUUCAGCAAUUGUCAAAGAUAUAACUUUGAAGUGUAUAGCUAUGAUAAAAUAAAUUAAUUUCGCUGUUUUCGUCUUAUAUUAUUUAAUAAUUUUUAUUUUCAACACUGUGUGUAUUACGGGUAGUUUAAAUAUUUGUGUUUGAUAAGUCCACAUCGGCAUGGAUAAACUCAACAUCUUUUCCAAGGCUUACUGUCAAGAGGUGGAAAAUUUGGGUGCUGUGGUUGACGAAAGGUUCCACCAAGACAUACUGACAAUGGAGCAACUUUACCAAGGCAGAUAGGAUGCAGUAAUGAUGGGGAUUAUUGUUAGUUCCUUAUGAGGAAAAACGAUGAAACAUAUAAACAAAAGUCAACAUUUGCAAAAUGGUUAUGCACAAAAGACUUCAUUUGAAUGUUUUUUCAUGUGUACCUAUUGUGAAUAAAGUAUGUUAUCCUCAUAA
Leptinotarsa decemlineata (Colorado potato beetle) is the source of this 957-nucleotide long non-coding RNA. NCBI's taxonomy places the organism in Eukaryota, Metazoa, Arthropoda, Insecta, Coleoptera, Chrysomelidae. The record is from RefSeq and is a predicted model, not a curated record.